GGGAUAUGGUCAAUAGCCUAACGGCUGAACCAGCAACUUGGAGGAAUGUAUAGCAAUCGCUAUUUGCACUAAAAGUUUUUAGUGUAAAAUCGACUUUGUCGAAUAAAAUUCUGGAUAGAAUUAUGAUAAUGACAUUACCUKUCCAUAAGUCUUGACCAAAUUACGUGCCAGCAGUCGCGGUAAUACGUAGAAGACAAGUGUUAUUCAUCUUUAAUAGGUUUAAAGGGUACUUAGACGGUAAACAAAGCCUUCAAAAGGGACUAGUUUGCUAGAGUUUUAUGUGAAGGAGUUUUAAAGUACUACUGGUGUAGAGAUGAAAUUCAGUUAUACCUUACAUGGCACAGGUUAAGGCGAAAGCAUCUUCUUAUGUAAAAACUGACGUUGAAGGACGAAGGCUUUGUGUCUCGAACAGGAUUAGAUACCCUAGUAGUCUAAGCAGAAAAUNAUGAAUGUCAUAGAUUAGAUUUAUUUUGAUCUGUAAAUGAAAGUGUAAGCAUUCCACCUCAAGAGUAAUUUGGCAACAUUGGAACUGAAAUCAUUAGACCGUUUCUGAAACCAGUAGUGAAGUAUGUUGUUUAAUUUGAUAAUCCGCAAAAAACCUUACCACAAUUUGAAUAGAUAUAUUUUAUCAUACAAGCGUUGCACGGCUGUYUUCAGUUAAUGUCGUGAGACUUUGGUUAGUUCCAUUAAAUUAACGUAAACCCUUACUUUAUUUUUAUAUAAAGUAGUUCACCGCUAUAUAGGAUGUGAUAAUMGGGAUCG
This 762-nucleotide ribosomal RNA is filed under the name Coppinsiella ulcerosa. RNAcentral describes it as "SSU rRNA". The record is from RNAcentral. Lineage: Eukaryota; Fungi; Ascomycota; Lecanoromycetes; Teloschistales; Teloschistaceae.